RNAcentral lists this long non-coding RNA (231 nucleotides) under Elaeis guineensis (African oil palm). RNAcentral describes it as "long non-coding RNA (EGUI_LNC006505)". The record is from RNAcentral. Lineage: Eukaryota; Viridiplantae; Streptophyta; Magnoliopsida; Arecales; Arecaceae.
GGGGGCUUACCAUUUUAUGAGGCGUCCGUGCCUAGUGCGAAGCUUUGUGCGGUGUGGGUUGGUAUCAUCUGUGCAAUUCAAGAGCUACUGGUGCAGAGGAUCAUCAUUGAGGGGGAUUCUCUAAUGGUUAUCAGUUGGAUCCAGGAGGGACCCAUGCACCGCAAGGCCCACCCUCUCCUCGACGAUAUCUGGAGGGCCACUCGCGGGUGCACUGCAGUGUCUUACUACCAU